GUAUCAAGUGUUCUGUGUGAGCUAUAAUUCUUGAUGUUGUAUAACUAAGCCUGUAAUUGGGCUAGUUUCUCUUACACCCAAGUACAGCUAAAAAAUGAAGUACUGUUUAACAUUUGCUCCCAAAAUAUUUCUUACUGUGUAAAAGAAGCUAGCUUAGUCUGUACCUAGAAUUCCUUUUGGUUAGAGGAGAUUCUUUUCCAUUAACUUGUUUCCUGAUCGAGAAACACAUGCUAAGAUUUCUAUGAAUUCUGCUUCUUUAUAGUUAAGUCUGUUUUCCAUGUUCUGUCAUUUAUUUAGGUCAAGGACAAGUGCCUUCUAAGGCAUGGAUAAGGGCUUUCUUCUUAUAAAAGUCUAGACUGUCUUACUGUGAAGAUGCCCAGGGAGGAUAGCAAGCAAUGGCAUUCUUGAACAAUCUAAGGCAGGGUUCUCAGUGUGGUCCCGGGAACAGAAGCAUCUGCAUCACCUGGGAAUGUGUUAGAAAUGCAAGUUCUCAGCCCCAUCCCAGACCUACUGAAUCAGAAACUCUGCGGGCUAGGGCUGAAACCUGCUUUCAUAAGCCCUUCAGGCAAUACUGAUGUAAACUAAAGCUUAAAAACCACUGUUUUGAUGUGACUUCAUGAAGAAUAUAAUUAUAAUAUCACCUAAAUUUUUAUCCUGGCUGGGAUAGGGCAGAUUCUUAUUAUGGACAAUUUCUGGAACUUACAGUAUGAAGAGCAGAUGAAGAGUUUGAGACAAAAAGUUGCACAGGGAGUUUAGUGAAUUUUUCCAUCAGGUUGGCCAUUACUUUCUUUCUCCAAAGUCUCAGGAUGUCUGGAAGCAAGGAAAGACACAAGACUGGAAGCAUCGGGUGGAUGCUGUGUGUCACAAGUGAGGUGGAGAGUUGACUGUGGAAGGUACAGCAAUUCCUCUGGAAUUAAAUGACCGACCAACACUGUAGGAAGAAGAUGAAGAGAAGAUGUUUUAAGUCGCUACAUGAAUCAGUGGAUGACUCAUAUUUUCACUUGCAUAUGAAAUAUAAGGCAGUUAACAUCUUGUUUGUGGCUUAAGGAAAGAAAUUAAUAUUACUAGACGAAGGGGAAGUUGGUUCUGUUGUCUUAAGGGAUGCCCCCUUGUGAUUUUGGUCAACUGAAUGAAAAAGGAAAGAUAGCCUUGGACCUUUUUUUCAUGGGAGGUUUGGAGGUCAAGCAUGUAGAAGGAAAAGGCUGUAGUCAUGAAUAUAGAACUGUCUGCUCUCCACCUUUUCCUUACUGUACAUUUAGUCAUCACACUGAACAGGAUGUGGCUUGCUGACAGUGAGUAGCUGAAGUGCCUAUUUGGUAAGUAGGUUAGCAUUCAACAUGAACUCUGAAAGCCAUUUCAGUGUUUGAAUGCUGCUCUGACCCUGCUAUGGUACAAAAAAACAUGGAUUUUUUUUUUUUUUUUAACUGGAGUAAUACCAAAUUCCCUUUAGAAGCUUGAAGUUUGAUACUAUUGCUUUCCCCAUUAUAACAAUUAUACAGUAUUAAUUAUAAGGCCCAAAGUUUGUUUUGGCAAAUAAAGCAUUAUUCUCUAUCAUCA
Molecule: long non-coding RNA, 1557 nt
Organism: Macaca fascicularis (crab-eating macaque)
Lineage: Eukaryota; Metazoa; Chordata; Mammalia; Primates; Cercopithecidae
Source: Ensembl